This is an RNA transcript of Helianthus annuus (common sunflower), 2416 nucleotides long. It is a transcript of the gene named mitotic spindle checkpoint protein MAD2, with no coding region annotated. The transcript has 12 exons. NCBI's taxonomy places the organism in Eukaryota, Viridiplantae, Streptophyta, Magnoliopsida, Asterales, Asteraceae. The record is from RefSeq and is a predicted model, not a curated record.
UUAGAGCAUCUAGAAAUCCAUUUUGGCGGGAAAACGAAAUGGGCUGUAAAAAUCACACGCGGACCUCCACUUCUUUGAUUUGGUACCCGACUAUUCGGAUCAUAUAUAACCAUAAUCUUUUCAAUAUUAGCUCACUAUCUCUGUUCCAAACCCUAAUCUUCAUCCAUUCCAAACCCUUUUCAAUCGUUCAUUCACCUAUUAAUCUCAAACCCUAAACUAUAUCUUUUCACAAUCGCAAAACAUUGCCUCUACAACCGUUAACCGCAAUCAUAUCAAAGAAUGAUCUGUGGUUAAGAAUUGAAGACAAACGAUCCAAUUGAAGUCUACCUGGUUGAUGUUGCGGCUUAUGCUUCUCUCCAAGAGAUCAAUUAUGUUUUUUACAAAGCGGUAUGAAUCUGGCUUUUGAUUGUGUGAUGUUAAUGAUAUUGAUUUCGAUUUACAUAUUAAUUGCGCGAUUGAAUCUAUUUUUUGAGAUUUUCAUUUUGUUUAAAGCUACACGUUUUGAUUAUGUUCAACUCAAUCUGUUAAGAGGUAUCCUACUUGAUUUAAAAAAAAUGAAAUUUCACUUUUAUUAGACGGAUCGAUUUGGGGUUUUCUAUCUCUAAUAGGUCAAAUGUUUUGAGUAGGUCAAGUAUAUGAUGGUGCUCAUGGUACCAAGCCUAAACACUUUCUGAAGCACAGUUACAACAGAUGUAAUGUUUUCAUCAUCGUUCAUACUUCAUAUACAACGGAAGAUUCGAUUUUAUACAGGCUUUGUUAUUUUCUCUUGAAUGUCUUCAAUGUUUUUAUCAACGACGCUAUACAAGUCACGAUCCGACAUAAUACAGGCGAGUGAUACAAUAUCGUGCUCUGACUGAUAAGGCGAGUGAUGCGUUCUACAAACUCAGCAACACAAGGACCCAAAUCCAGGCCUAUGUUUUUGAUGGAUAUACCCGCUGAAUUUUGUAAGACAUGGGUAUCAUCAAUCAGAUUUAAGAUUAAAACAAGCAGAUUUGAGAAUAAAGCAAUUAUUUUGAUCCACUUUUCAACUUGGUGUCAGUAGGCUGUUAUUAAAGAAAUUGUUUCUGCAGUGGGCCGACCUUUGGCAGACUUGUUUUUGCACUAACAGAAGGUUAUGGUGAAUUCACAGUCACUACAAAAGCCAAAAAAAACAAGAAGUUCCCUUAUGUUAAACAAGUUUUGAAUUGUUUAAUAUACGUUUUCAGGAUUAGGUCAAUUGGAAAAAGUUGUGAUGGUGGAUGCAUCAUAUUUUCCUUUCAUUCGGUAAUUUCAUUGGUCAAUCAACAACUUCGAUCUACCAAUUGAUCCACAUAACUGGAAGAAUCUUGUAGGAAUUGACUUUGGCCGCAAAUAGGGUGUUUAGCCCCUCUCUAAGCUUUUGGAUUUAACAAAUGGGUUCUGUUUUGAAUCGGUAACAACGGACGCAGAACAUGAGAGGAAUAUUGAGCCAAAUCUGAGUCACCAACAUGAGAGGUGGUGGAUGACGCAAAUACUUUUAAUUUUGGAUGGAGCCAAUGGGUCAACCGAGGAAGCAGAGCUGAAUGAAUUGAUGGCUGCCAUUCCGAAUCUAUCGCUCAAUAUGCUAUUUUGAAGUAUUAUUGUGCAUCAAGAUAACGGAUAAGGGCUUGGAGCAUGUAAUCGUCAAAUGCUCUGGUCUAAAGAGCCUAAAUUUUUAUGCAUUAAGGUAUGGGGUUUGUGAAACUGAUAUUGUCUUUUUGAUUUAAUGUCCACUAUUAACUUAACUAAGCACUUAUUUUAAUUGUAUGGUUUAUGGAUGUUUUAUAGUUUGUUUUGCUUUUUGUGCUUUUGCCAUGUUCUCUGUUUGGUAAACUGGUUCUUGCGGAAGAAUUCUUAAACAUAUCGGUGGCAAUAGAGACGACUUCCCGGUUGUAGUUGGUGGUUGAGCUAGGUCCCGACAUUCGAGGCACAAAAGUGGUGUUCGGUGUUUGGAAGACACUUGUAAAAGGCAUCACCUGGAUACUCAUUUUGAAUUGUUUUCGUGUCCGAUUUUCAGGUAUAUUUGAUGUGUUAGCAUAUACUGAUAUGGAUGUUACGGUACCUUUCACUUGGACCAAGAGUGAUCCGAAACUGAUUGCGAAUCCGCAGAUGGUGAAAUUGCAUUCUUUCGAUACCAAGAUUCACAAGGUUGACACUUUAGUGUCUUACAAGAAUGAUGAAUGGGAUGAGCAGUAAUUAGUAAAAGAUGUGAUUUUUUACUUUUUACUCUAAAACUUUGGUUACUGUUGUUUGUUGUUGGUUCCCAAAGAUUGUGAUGUGAAUCAUUUUGAUUCACAUUUUCUGUAAGUUGCUUAAGAUAUAAGAAAUAUAAAUAUGGAAUCUUGUUCUAUCAUGGCUUUCAUGAAAAUUGUUCUCUUUGAUUACAAUUAUGUUCAUAAAAUGUAAAAUGACUUGACAG